GGGGCUGUCUCUUCACUCUCCCUCCGGUCAUGAAAUAUGCUGUGGUUGGGAUGCUUGUGAUCGGUUGCCUGUGCGGUUCUACCCUCUUGCGGGUAGCGAAGUCGUCCCUCGAUGGAUAUUUGCUUGCCUUUUCUGACAUAUUCUGUCGUUUGGGCAGCCGAAAUGUUGGCAAAAUCCCUGUGUUGGUGCGUGGUCAGAUGCUGUGUUGCUAUCACUCGGAUUUUUGCCGGCUCUCACGGAUGCGGUGCCUAUUGCUAGCUUUGCGGGGCUCUGCCCCGCAGACUUCGGGAGGUCCCUUGUACGAACCAUUGCUCUUAUACGCCGUUUGUCGUGUUGCCGGUGGCGACACGCAGAUCGUGUUCUGCCGUGUUGUAGUUAACGACACGCCAGAACAAAGUGUCCGGAGCGUGGUCGCGUGCAUGCGGGCCGCCUCUCGUCCGUGUGAGCAGCGAUUUCCGGUUCGCGUCGUGCGAAGGCCCGCCUGUCCGGGUCGGUGCUGGAGCCGAUGUGCCGGCUCUA
RNAcentral lists this unclassified non-coding RNA (519 nucleotides) under Carex lepida. RNAcentral describes it as "partial external transcribed spacer 1f". The record is from RNAcentral. Lineage: Eukaryota; Viridiplantae; Streptophyta; Magnoliopsida; Poales; Cyperaceae.